CAGGGGAUCUUCCCAACCCAGGGAUCAAACCCAUGUCUCUUACGUCUCCUAUACUGGCAGGCAGAUUCUUUACCAUGAGCACCACCUGGGAAGCCUAGAAUUUUUUUUUUAAUAGUUAUUAGGUCAUUAACUCAUCCACUCCUUCCUAAUCUAGAAAGUACAUACCAACAACAUCAUGUUAUAUAUAGGGAAAAUAGAGAAAGGGGGAAAACUGAGGCUCACAAAGUUCUAUCAGUUCUAACCCAGAACUAAGAUUCUUUAAACAUCCUACUCUACUAUACUAUUUUAGUAGUACUCAAAAAGAUUCUAUUUAAGCACAGAUUAAUUUAUUUUUCAUUUAAAAAAAAAGUAUUAUAUCUCUAAAAAACCCAGGUAAGUCUGGUCUGAAGCCUAUGUCUCAAUCACUAUGAUAUUUGUUAAAAAGAAUGAAUGACAUGCCAUGGUUUAUUAUACACUGAGUCAGGAUAUAUACAUAAAUUAUUAACUAUUCAAUAUACUGAAAACAUUACUUAAGAAAAAGACAAAACUAGGAACAAAGAGUCUUAUAAAGAUACUUUACAGACCCAAAAAGUCCAACCAAAAGAGUAACAAUAGCUGAUAGAUACCAUUCCAAAGUUUUUAAUCUUCCAAACCAUACUAUGAAAUAGAUAUUACUAUAUAAAUUUUACAGAUGAGGAAGUUUGAGAUACAACAACAUUCAGAAACUUGUUUAGAAGGGGCAAUAUAGGAGUAAGGGGUUAAAGAGAUAUAAACUACUAUGUAUAAAAUAAGCUACAAGGAUAUAUUGUACACCAUGGGAAAUAUAGACAAUAUUUUAUAAAAAUAUAAAUGGAGUAUAACCUCUAAAAUAUGUGAGUCACUAUAUUAGACACUUGUAACAAAUAAUAUUGUAUAUCAACCACACUUCAAUUUAAAAAACUUUAAAAACAGAAAAGAAAUUUGUCCAAAACCUGCCAUCCUUUAAGUAACAGAAUAGGUAGUCAAGCCUACGUCUCCACAGCUCCAGAAUAUAAUCUUAAAACUCGUA
This 1027-nucleotide long non-coding RNA is filed under the name Capra hircus (goat). Its description in RNAcentral is "lncRNA (ENSCHIG00010002464.1)". The record is from RNAcentral. Lineage: Eukaryota; Metazoa; Chordata; Mammalia; Artiodactyla; Bovidae.